GACGAACGCUGGCGGCGCGCCUAACACAUGCAAGUCGAACGGAGCUGAGAGAAGCUUGCUUUUCUUAGCUUAGUGGCGAACGGGUGAGUAACGCGUGAGUAACCUGCCCUGGAGUGGGGGACAACAGUUGGAAACGACUGCUAAUACCGCAUAAGCCCACGAUCCGGCAUCGGAUUGAGGGAAAAGGAUUUAUUCGCUUCAGGAUGGACUCGCGUCCAAUUAGCUAGUUGGUGAGGUAACGGCCCACCAAGGCGACGAUUGGUAGCCGGACUGAGAGGUUGAACGGCCACAUUGGGACUGAGACACGGCCCAGACUCCUACGGGAGGCAGCAGUGGGGGAUAUUUCACAAUUGGGGAAACCCUGAUGCAGCGACGCCGCGUGGAGGAAGAAGGUUUUCGGAUGGUAAACUCCUUUCGAUAGGGAAGAUAAUGACGGUACCUAACAAGAAAGCACCGGCUAACUACGUG
Molecule: ribosomal RNA, 468 nt
Filed under: uncultured bacterium
Lineage: Bacteria
Description: partial 16S ribosomal RNA
Rfam family: Bacterial small subunit ribosomal RNA
Source: RNAcentral